This is a ribosomal RNA of 750 nucleotides. It matches the Rfam family "Bacterial small subunit ribosomal RNA", at positions 60 to 810 of the family's 1533-position model.
AGUCGAACGAUGAUGCCCAGCUUGCUGGGCGGAUUAGUGGCGAACGGGUGAGUAACACGUGAGUAACCUGCCCUUGACUUCGGGAUAACUCCGGGAAACCGGGGCUAAUACCGGAUAUGAGCCGCCUUCGCAUGGGGGUGGUUGGAAAGUUUUUCGGUCAGGGAUGGGCUCGCGGCCUAUCAGCUUGUUGGUGGGGUGAUGGCCUACCAAGGCGACGACGGGUAGCCGGCCUGAGAGGGCGACCGGCCACACUGGGACUGAGACACGGCCCAGACUCCUACGGGAGGCAGCAGUGGGGAAUAUUGCACAAUGGGCGAAAGCCUGAUGCAGCGACGCCGCGUGAGGGAUGAAGGCCUUCGGGUUGUAAACCUCUUUCAGCAGGGAAGAAGCGCAAGUGACGGUACCUGCAGAAGAAGCGCCGGCUAACUACGUGCCAGCAGCCGCGGUAAUACGUAGGGCGCAAAGCGUUGUCCGGAAUUAUUGGGCGUAAAGAGCUCGUAGGCGGUUUGUUCGCGUCUGGUGUGAAAACUCGAGGCUCAACCUCGAGCUUUGCAUCGGGUACGGGCAGACUAGAGUGCGGUAGGGGAGACUGGAAUUCCUGGUGUAGCGGUGGAAAUGCGCAGAUAUCAGGAGGAACACCGAUGGCGAAGGCAGGGUCUCUGGGUCCGCAACUGAACGCUGAGGAAGCGAAAGCAUGGGGAGCGAACAGGGAUUAGAUACCCCCUGGUAGCUCCAUGCCGUUAUAACGUU